UCCACGUUCAAGAGUUUCCACGUUCAAUUUUAAUCGUCCGUCUUUUUUAAAUUGUUUUUAUAAUUAGUUUUUUUAUGAAAUGAUAAAACAUGAUCGAAUAGUACUUCACUUGUGACUUAUGUUUUUAAUUUUUUUAAAAAAAACAAUUUAAAUAAGACGGACGAUCAAAACUGGACGCGGAAAACCAUAGCUGCAUUUGAA
This is a non-coding RNA of Oryza glumipatula, 201 nucleotides long. NCBI's taxonomy places the organism in Eukaryota, Viridiplantae, Streptophyta, Magnoliopsida, Poales, Poaceae. The record is from Rfam.